UACGUAGGGUGCGAGCGUUAAUCGGAAUUACUGGGCGUAAAGCGUGCGCAGGCGGUUUUGUAAGCCAGAUGGGAAAUCCCCGGGCUUAACCUGGGAACUGCAUUUGGGACUGCAAGGCUUGAGUACGGCAGAGGGGGGUAGAAUUCCUGGUGUAGCAGUGAAAUGCGUAGAUAUCAGGAGGAAUACCGAUGGCGAAGGCAGGCCUCUGGGCUGACACUGACGCUCAUGCACGAAAGCGUGGGGAGCAAACAGG
This 253-nucleotide ribosomal RNA is filed under the name uncultured bacterium. RNAcentral's name for it is "partial 16S ribosomal RNA". It matches the Rfam family "Bacterial small subunit ribosomal RNA", at positions 524 to 776 of the family's 1533-position model. The record is from RNAcentral.